Molecule: long non-coding RNA, 247 nt
Filed under: Lathyrus oleraceus (garden pea)
Lineage: Eukaryota; Viridiplantae; Streptophyta; Magnoliopsida; Fabales; Fabaceae
Description: Pisum sativum (pea) long non-coding RNA (PSAT_LNC036739)
Source: RNAcentral
AACAUCUUCCUCAAAAUUACACUUAAUAGCAGUGAAAAUUAAAUAAUUAAAAAACACAGCUUCAUUUUCUCAUCAAAAUAGAAAUUGUUUUAACUCAAUGAAAUAUUAGUUUAGGUAACAUAAUAACUUAUAGAAUAAAACAAGUAAAUGAUUCCAACCCAAGUGUUACACUAUCAUAGCAACACACGAAACUAAAAUAAACUCAAAGCGAUAAACCCCGAAGAAGGUCACUACGCCAUCCUCCAAC